This 483-nucleotide ribosomal RNA is filed under the name uncultured bacterium. RNAcentral describes it as "partial 16S ribosomal RNA". It matches the Rfam family "Bacterial small subunit ribosomal RNA", at positions 30 to 507 of the family's 1533-position model. The record is from RNAcentral.
UUGAACGCUGGCGGCAGGCCUAACACAUGCAAGUCGAGCGGAUGAAGGGAGCUUGCUCCUGGAUUCAGCGGCGGACGGGUGAGUAAUGCCUAGGAAUCUGCCUGGUAGUGGGGGAUAACGUCCGGAAACGGGCGCUAAUACCGCAUACGUCCUGCGGGAGAAAGUGGGGGAUCUUCGGACCUCACGCUAUCAGAUGAGCCUAGGUCGGAUUAGCUAGUUGGUGGGGUAAAGGCCUACCAAGGCGACGAUCCGUAACUGGUCUGAGAGGAUGAUCAGUCACACUGGAACUGAGACACGGUCCAGACUCCUACGGGAGGCAGCAGUGGGGAAUAUUGGACAAUGGGCGAAAGCCUGAUCCAGCCAUGCCGCGUGUGUGAAGAAGGUCUUCGGAUUGUAAAGCACUUUAAGUUGGGAGGAAGGGCAGUAAGUUAAUACCUUGCUGUUUUGACGUUACCAACAGAAUAAGCACCGGCUAACUUCGUG